RNAcentral lists this ribosomal RNA (253 nucleotides) under uncultured prokaryote. RNAcentral describes it as "partial 16S ribosomal RNA". It matches the Rfam family "Bacterial small subunit ribosomal RNA", at positions 524 to 776 of the family's 1533-position model. The record is from RNAcentral.
UACAGAGACUGCAAGCGUUACUCGGAUUCACUGGGCGUAAAGGGAGCGCAGGUGGGCAGAUGUGUCGGGCGUGAAAUCCCGGGGCUUAACUCCGAAACUGCAUUCGAUACUGCGGUGCUUGAGGACUGGAGAGGAGACUGGAAUUCAUGGUGUAGCAGUGAAAUGCGUAGAGAUCAUGAGGAAGACCAGUGGCGAAGGCGGGUCUCUGGACAGUUCCUGACACUGAGACACGAAGGCCAGGGGAGCAAACGGG